RNAcentral lists this ribosomal RNA (591 nucleotides) under uncultured bacterium. Its description in RNAcentral is "partial 16S ribosomal RNA". It matches the Rfam family "Bacterial small subunit ribosomal RNA", at positions 355 to 1375 of the family's 1533-position model. The record is from RNAcentral.
UGGGGAAUUUUGGACAAUGGGCGAAAGCCUGAUCCAGCAAUGCCGCGUGUGUGAAGAAGGCCUUCGGGUUGUAAAGCACUUUUGUCCGGAAAGAAAUCCUUGGCUCUAAUACAGUCGGGGGAUGACGGUACCGGAAGAAUAAGCACCGGCUAACUACGUGCCAGCAGCCGCGGUAAUACGUAGGGUGCAAGCGUUAAUCGGAAUUACUGGGCGUAAAGCGUGCGCAGGCGGUUUGCUAAGACCGAUGUGAAAUCCCCGGGCUCAACCUGGGAACUGCAUUGGUGACUGGCAGGCUAGAGUAUGGCAGAGGGGGGUAGAAUUCCACGUGUAGCAGUGAAAUGCGUAGAGAUGUGGAGGAAUACCGAUGGCGAAGGCAGCCCCCUGGGCCAAAUACUGACGCUCAUGCACGAAAGCGUGGGGGAGCAAAACAGGAUUAGAUACCCUGGUAGUCCACGCCCUAAAACGAUGUCAACUAGUUGUUGGGGAUUCAUUUCCUUAGUAACGUAGCUAACGCGUGAAAGUUGACCGCCUGGGGAGUACGGUCGCAAGAUUAAAAACUCAAAGGAAUUGACGGGGUCAUAGCUGUUUCCU